RNAcentral lists this ribosomal RNA (986 nucleotides) under uncultured bacterium. Its description in RNAcentral is "bacterial SSU rRNA". It matches the Rfam family "Bacterial small subunit ribosomal RNA", at positions 335 to 1337 of the family's 1533-position model. The record is from RNAcentral.
ACUCCUACGGGAGGCAGCAGUGGGGAAUUUUCCGCAAUGGGCGCAAGCCUGACGGAGCAAGACCGCGUGAGGGAGGAAGGCUCUUGGGUUGUAAACCUCUUUUAUCAGGGAAGAAGAUCUGACGGUACCUGAUGAAUCAGCAUCGGCUAACUCCGUGCCAGCAGCCGCGGUAAUACGGAGGAUGCAAGCGUUAUCCGGAUUUAUUGGGCGUAAAGCGUCCGCAGGUGGUUUUUCAAGUCUGCUGUUAAAGCGCAGAGCUUAACUCUGUAACGGCGGUGGAAACUGAGAGACUAGAGUAUGGUAGGGGUUGCGGGAAUUCCCAGUGUAGCGGUGAAAUGCGUAGAUAUUGGGAAGAACACCAGCGGCGAAAGCGCGCAACUGGGCCAUUACUGACACUCAUGGACGAAAGCUGGGGGAGCGAAAGGGAUUAGAUACCCCUGUAGUCCUAGCUGUAAACGAUGGGUACUAGGUGUUGACCGUAUCGACCCGGUCAGUGCCGUAGCUAACGCGUUAAGUACCCCGCCUGGGGAGUAUGCACGCAAGUGUGAAACUCAAAGGAAUUGACGGGGGCCCGCACAAGCGGUGGAGUAUGUGGUUUAAUUCGAUGCAACGCGAAGAACCUUACCAGGGCUUGACAUGUCGCGAAUCUCGGUGAAAGUCGAGAGUGCCUUCGGGAGCGCGAACACAGGUGGUGCAUGGCUGUCGUCAGCUCGUGUCGUGAGAUGUUGGGUUAAGUCCCGCAACGAGCGCAACCCUCGUUUUUAGUUGCCAGCAUUUAGUUGGGCACUCUAGAGAGACUGCCGGUGACAAACCGGAGGAAGGUGGGGAUGACGUCAAGUCAGCAUGCCCCUUACGUCCUGGGCUACACACGUACUACAAUGCUUCGGACAAAGGGUUGCGAGCUAGCGAUAGCAAGCUAAUCCCGUAAACCGAGGCUCAGUUCAGAUUGCAGGCUGCAACUCGCCUGCAUGAAGGAGGAAUCGCUA